This 23-nucleotide microRNA is filed under the name Callithrix jacchus (white-tufted-ear marmoset). RNAcentral's name for it is "cja-miR-9949". The record is from miRBase by way of RNAcentral. Lineage: Eukaryota; Metazoa; Chordata; Mammalia; Primates; Cebidae.
GGCCUUUCAGCUGUUGCUGCGCG